CGCGGACACCGAGAAACUCUGCCGGUUCCCAGGAGUAGGGUAAGGAAUGAGGUGGUGGGGAGGGAGCUGGCACAGAUGAACCCUUUCCUGCCGGUGAUAUCAUCAUAGGCUGUCCGCGGACCUGGGAUUCCCUAGGGGGCUGCCUGUUCAGAGACGUCUCCAUCAAGCAAAUACCCUCUUCUCCGCUUGUCUACUAGGUUCACACUAACUUAUUCUGAAUACUGAAAUCAGGUUAUACAAGUUUAACAUCUACUGCUACAAUCCUAACUUGAAGGCCAUCUCCAUGACGGCAGAAGUACACCAAGACCAUUUAUAUGAAGAUCCUCAUUUCACAAAAUCUCAUGAGGUUACAUUCUCUAUAAAUGAUCCUUUGUAGAUGUGAGUUUUCUAGAGAAAGGCUAUGUACAGAGUGGCUACCACUUACAGUUUUGGGCCUGGAGCACAUGUGUUUCCAUUCAUUCUCGACGAUGCCAGCCACCACAAGUUCCUGGAGGAAGGCAAAGAUCAGCAUCA
Molecule: non-coding RNA, 513 nt
Organism: Microcebus murinus (gray mouse lemur)
Lineage: Eukaryota; Metazoa; Chordata; Mammalia; Primates; Cheirogaleidae
Source: RefSeq, a predicted model, not a curated record